AUCAUAAUGAUGACUUCUUCCAUUAUAUUGUUAUUGUCUUAAAACAUCAUUUUCAAAUACCAACUGUAAAUUAAUAUUGUAAUGCAAAAUAUAACAAUCUUUGGUGUAAACAAACUAUUUACUAUCUGUAUCAUGGUCACGUACGCGUAAUACACCAGUUCAUUCAACUAACGUUCCCGCUCUUAAUUCUACGGCCACUGAUUCUGUUACUACGUUUAAAAUAAUAAUAAUAUCUGAAAUUCGAAAUAAACACUUUUAAUAAAUAGAUUUGAGUUAUCUUUUUUAUAAUACAUGUGUCGUAUACAGGCUGUGCUGUAACUUUACAAAAAUUACAAUAACG
RNAcentral lists this long non-coding RNA (340 nucleotides) under Mytilus galloprovincialis (Mediterranean mussel). Lineage: Eukaryota; Metazoa; Mollusca; Bivalvia; Mytilida; Mytilidae. The record is from RNAcentral.